RNAcentral lists this ribosomal RNA (432 nucleotides) under uncultured bacterium. RNAcentral's name for it is "partial 16S ribosomal RNA". It matches the Rfam family "Bacterial small subunit ribosomal RNA", at positions 29 to 507 of the family's 1533-position model. The record is from RNAcentral.
AACGAACGCUGGCGGCAUGCCUAACACAUGCAAGUCGAACGAGACCUUCGGGUCUAGUGGCGCACGGGUGAGUAACGCGUGGGAACCUGCCCUUAGGUUCGGAAUAACUCCCCGAAAGGGGUGCUAAUACCGGAUAAUGUCUUCGGACAAAAGAUUUAUCGCCUUUGGAUGGGCCCGCGUUUGAUUAGCUAGUUGGUAGGGUAAAAGCCUACCAAGGCCGGCAUUCAUGGCUGGGUUGGGGGGAGGAUCAGCAACACUGGGAUUGAGGCACGCCCCAGACCCUACGGGGAGGAGGCAGGGGGGAAUAUGGGAAAUGGGGCGAAAGCUUGAGCAGCCAUGGCGGGGGGAGUGAGGAAGGCUUUAGGGUGGAAAAGUUUUUCUACCGGGGAGAUUAUGACGGGAACCGGGGGAGUAGCCCCGGCUAACUUCGUU